This 127-nucleotide small RNA is filed under the name Marmota monax (woodchuck). Lineage: Eukaryota; Metazoa; Chordata; Mammalia; Rodentia; Sciuridae. The record is from RNAcentral.
GCUGGGCAUGGUGGCACAUGCCUGUAAUCUCAGUGGCUUGGGAGGCUGAGGCAGGAGGACUGCAAGUUCAAAACCAGCCUCAGCAACUUAGUGAGGCACUUAGCAACUCAACAAGACCCUGUCUCUA